UACGUAGGGGGCAAGCGUUGCUCGGAAUUACUGGGCGUAAAGGGUUCGUAGGCGGUUGGGCAAGUCGGCGGUGAAAUCUCUCGGCUUAACCGAGAGCGGUCCGCCGAAACUACCUGACUGGAGGGCCGGAGAGGGGAGUGGAAUACCUGGUGUAGCGGUGAAAUGCGUAGAGAUCAGGUGGAACACCGGAGGCGAAGGCGGCUCCCUGGACGGCACCUGACGCUGAGGAACGAAAGCUGGGGGAGCAAACAGG
Molecule: ribosomal RNA, 253 nt
Filed under: uncultured bacterium
Lineage: Bacteria
Description: partial 16S ribosomal RNA
Rfam family: Bacterial small subunit ribosomal RNA
Source: RNAcentral